This 253-nucleotide ribosomal RNA is filed under the name uncultured bacterium. RNAcentral's name for it is "partial 16S ribosomal RNA". It matches the Rfam family "Bacterial small subunit ribosomal RNA", at positions 524 to 776 of the family's 1533-position model. The record is from RNAcentral.
UACAGAGGGUGCGAGCGUUAAUCGGAAUUACUGGGCGUAAAGCGUGCGUAGACGGUUAUCUAAGUCGGAUGUGAAAGCCCCGGGCUCAACCUGGGAAUUGCAUUCGAGACUGAAUAGCUAGGGUGCGGUAGAGGGAAGCGGAAUUUCCGGUGUAGCGGUGAAAUGCGUAGAUAUCUGGAGGAACACCGGUGGCGAAGGCGACAUCCUGGACCGGUAUUGACGCUGAGGCGCGAAAGCCAGGGGAGCAAACGGG